This 256-nucleotide ribosomal RNA is filed under the name uncultured bacterium. RNAcentral's name for it is "partial 16S ribosomal RNA". It matches the Rfam family "Bacterial small subunit ribosomal RNA", at positions 32 to 297 of the family's 1533-position model. The record is from RNAcentral.
AAUCAACGCUGGCGGCGUGCCUAACACAUGCAAGUCGAACGAGAAAGUGGAGCAAUCCAUGAGUAAAGUGGCGCACGGGUGAGUAACACGUGACUAACCUACCCUUGAGUGGGGGAUAACCUAGGGAAACCGUGGGCUAAUACCGCAUAAUACCUACGGGUCAAAGGAGCAAUUCGCUUUAGGAGGGGGUCGCGGCAGAUUAGUUAGUUGGCGGGGUAAGUGGCCCACCAAGACGAUGAUCGUAUCCGGCCUGAGA